AUAACAGGUCUGAGAUGCCCUUAGAUGUUCUGGGCCGCACGCGUGCUACACUGAGUGGAUCAGCGGGUUAGGUAACGCGAAAGUGUGUCCUAAUCUUCAAAUCCGCUCGUGAUGGGGAUUGACGGUUGCAAUUUUCCGUCAUGAACGAGGAAUACCUUGUAAGCGCGUUUCAUCAUAACGCGCUGAAUACGUCCCUGCCCUUUGUACACACCGCCCGUCGCUCCUACCGAUUGAGUGGUCCGGUGAGGCUUUGGGACCUGAGCGGAAAAAGCGUUUCGCUUGUUCUGCUUGGGAAACUCAGUCGAACCUUAUCAUUUAGAGGAA
Molecule: ribosomal RNA, 324 nt
Filed under: Corallinales sp. ZA_Twist-2019
Lineage: Eukaryota; Rhodophyta; Florideophyceae; Corallinales
Description: SSU rRNA
Rfam family: Eukaryotic small subunit ribosomal RNA
Source: RNAcentral